CCUACGGGAGGCAGCAGUGAGGAAUAUUGGACAAUGGCCGCAGGGCUGAACCAGCCAAGUCGCGUGAGGGAUGAAGGUCCUAUGGAUUGUAAACCUCUUUUGUCAGGGAGCAAAGGGCGCCACGUGUGGCGCUUUGCGAGUACCUGAAGAAAAAGCAUCGGCUAACUCCGUGCCAGCAGCCGCGGUAAUACGGAGGAUGCGAGCGUUAUCCGGAUGUAUGGGGUUUAGAGGGUGCGCAGGCGGAAUGUCAAGUUAGCGGUAAAAUUUCGGGGCUCAACCCCGUCGUGCCGUUGAAAAUGGCGUUCUUGAGUGAUCGAGAAGUAGGCGGAAUGCGUGGUGUAGCGGUGAAAUGCAUAGAUAUCACGCAGAACUUCGAUGGCGAAGGCAGCAUACCGGCGCUCAACUGACGCUCAUGCACGAAAGCGUGGGUAUCGAACAGGAUUAGAUACCCCUGUAGUC
RNAcentral lists this ribosomal RNA (459 nucleotides) under uncultured bacterium. Its description in RNAcentral is "partial 16S ribosomal RNA". It matches the Rfam family "Bacterial small subunit ribosomal RNA", at positions 338 to 795 of the family's 1533-position model. The record is from RNAcentral.